Molecule: ribosomal RNA, 504 nt
Filed under: uncultured bacterium
Lineage: Bacteria
Description: partial 16S ribosomal RNA
Rfam family: Bacterial small subunit ribosomal RNA
Source: RNAcentral
AUUGAACGCUGGCGGCAGGCCUAACACAUGCAAGUCGAGCGGUAGCACAGGGAGCUUGCUCCUGGCUGACGAGCGGCGGACGGGUGAGUAACGUCUGGGAAACUGCCUGAUGGAGGGGGAUAACUACUGGAAACGGUAGCUAAUACCGCAUAACGCCGCAAGACCAAAGAGGGGGACCUCUGGGCCUCCUGCUAUCAGGUGAGCCCAGGUGGGAUUAGCUAGUAGGUGGGGUAACGGCCCACCUAGGCGACGAUCCCUAGCUGGUCUGAGAGGAUGACCAGCCACACUGGAACGGAGACACGGACCAGACUCCUACGGGAGGCAGCAGUGGGGAAUAUUGCACAAUGGGCGCAAGCCUGAUGCAGCCAUGCCGCGUGUGUGAAGAAGGCCUUCGGGUUGUAAAGUACUUUCAGCGGGGAGGAAGGCGGUGAGGUUAAUAGCCUUGCCGAUUGACGUUACCCGCAGAAGAAGCACCGGCUAACUCCGUGCCAGCCGCCGCUGUAA